GUUUUAAUAGUUUAAAUAAUAAAACAAUGAUUUUGUAAUUCAUAAAUAGGAAAACCUUUAAAACU
Molecule: transfer RNA, 65 nt
Filed under: Glaucias dorsalis
Lineage: Eukaryota; Metazoa; Arthropoda; Insecta; Hemiptera; Pentatomidae
Description: tRNA-Thr
Source: RNAcentral